RNAcentral lists this ribosomal RNA (301 nucleotides) under uncultured bacterium. RNAcentral's name for it is "partial 16S ribosomal RNA". It matches the Rfam family "Bacterial small subunit ribosomal RNA", at positions 509 to 807 of the family's 1533-position model. The record is from RNAcentral.
CAGUAGCCGCGGUAAUACGUAGGGUGCGAGCGUUAAUCGGAAUUACUGGGCGUAAAGCGUGCGCAGGCGGUUGUGUAAGACAGGUGUGGAAUCCCCGGGCUUAACCUGGGAACUGCGCUUGUGACUGCACAGCUAGAGUAUGGCAGAGGGGGGUGGAAUUCCACGUGUAGCAGUGAAAUGCGUAGAGAUGUGGAGGAACACCGAUGGCGAAGGCAGCCCCCUGGGCCAAUACUGACGCUCAUGCACGAAAGCGUGGGGAGCAAACAGGAUUAGAUACCCCUGUAGUCCCUGUCUCUUAUAC